RNAcentral lists this ribosomal RNA (872 nucleotides) under Escherichia coli. RNAcentral's name for it is "partial 23S ribosomal RNA". It matches the Rfam family "Bacterial large subunit ribosomal RNA", at positions 418 to 1290 of the family's 2925-position model. Lineage: Bacteria; Pseudomonadati; Pseudomonadota; Gammaproteobacteria; Enterobacterales; Enterobacteriaceae. The record is from RNAcentral.
CGGGACACGUGGUAUCCUGUCUGAAUAUGGGGGGACCAUCCUCCAAGGCUAAAUACUCCUGACUGACCGAUAGUGAACCAGUACCGUGAGGGAAAGGCGAAAAGAACCCCGGCGAGGGGAGUGAAAAAGAACCUGAAACCGUGUACGUACAAGCAGUGGGAGCCUCUUUAUGGGGUGACUGCGUACCUUUUGUAUAAUGGGUCAGCGACUUAUAUUCUGUAGCAAGGUUAACCGAAUAGGGGAGCCGAAGGGAAACCGAGUCUUAACUGGGCGUUAAGUUGCAGGGUAUAGACCCGAAACCCGGUGAUCUAGCCAUGGGCAGGUUGAAGGUUGGGUAACACUAACUGGAGGACCGAACCGACUAAUGUUGAAAAAUUAGCGGAUGACUUGUGGCUGGGGGUGAAAGGCCAAUCAAACCGGGAGAUAGCUGGUUCUCCCCGAAAGCUAUUUAGGUAGCGCCUCGUGAAUUCAUCUCCGGGGGUAGAGCACUGUUUCGGCAAGGGGGUCAUCCCGACUUACCAACCCGAUGCAAACUGCGAAUACCGGAGAAUGUUAUCACGGGAGACACACGGCGGGUGCUAACGUCCGUCGUGAAGAGGGAAACAACCCAGACCGCCAGCUAAGGUCCCAAAGUCAUGGUUAAGUGGGAAACGAUGUGGGAAGGCCCAGACAGCCAGGAUGUUGGCUUAGAAGCAGCCAUCAUUUAAAGAAAGCGUAAUAGCUCACUGGUCGAGUCGGCCUGCGCGGAAGAUGUAACGGGGCUAAACCAUGCACCGAAGCUGCGGCAGCGACGCUUAUGCGUUGUUGGGUAGGGGAGCGUUCUGUAAGCCUGCGAAGGUGUGCUGUGAGGCAUGCUGGAGGUAUCAGAAGUG